GGUGAACGCUGGCGGCGUGCCUAAUACAUGCAAGUCGAGCGAACGGACGAGAAGCUUGCUUCUCUGAUGUUAGCGGCGGACGGGUGAGUAACACGUGGAUAACCUACCUAUAAGACUGGGAUAACUUCGGGAAACCGGAGCUAAUACCGGAUGAUAUUUUGAACCGCAUGGUUCAAAAGUGAAAGACGGUCUUGCUGUCACUUAUAGAUGGAUCCGCGCUGCAUUAGCUAGUUGGUAAGGUAACGGCUUACCAAGGCAACGAUGCAUAGCCGACCUGAGAGAGUGAUCGGCCACACUGGAACUGAGACACGGUCCAGACUCCUACGGGAGGCAGCAGUAGGGAAUCUUCCGCAAUGGGCGAAAGCCUGACGGAGCAACGCCGCGUGAGUGAUGAAGGUCUUCGGAUCGUAAAACUCUGUUAUUAGGGAAGAACAUAUGUGUAAGUAACUGUGCACAUCUUGACGGUACCUAAUCAGAAAGCCACGGCUAACUACGUG
RNAcentral lists this ribosomal RNA (497 nucleotides) under uncultured bacterium. RNAcentral describes it as "partial 16S ribosomal RNA". It matches the Rfam family "Bacterial small subunit ribosomal RNA", at positions 28 to 507 of the family's 1533-position model. The record is from RNAcentral.